Oncorhynchus tshawytscha (Chinook salmon) is the source of this 331-nucleotide long non-coding RNA. NCBI's taxonomy places the organism in Eukaryota, Metazoa, Chordata, Actinopteri, Salmoniformes, Salmonidae. The record is from Ensembl.
GUCUGUCUUACUGUGUUGAGGUGUGGGGGGAACACUGUGUGUCUGUAGUCUGUCUUACUGUGUUGAGGUGUGUGGGGGAACACUGUGUGUCUGUAGUCUGUCUUACUGUGUUGAGGUGUGGGGGAACACUGUGUCUGUCUUACUGUGUUGAGGUGGGGGGAACACUGUUGUCUUACUGUGUUGAGGUGGGGGAACACUGUGUCUGUAGUCUGUCUUACUGUGUUGAGGUGGGGGGAGGACUGGGUCUGUAGUCUUAAGGAAACAGACUGACUGUACGACAGUGUCCUCUGUCCAGCUGCUCCAGACAGUCAGAGUAGCGCUGGGCUAGAGG